GCAUAUCAAUAAGCGGAGGAAAAGAAAAUAACAAUGAUUUCCCUAGUAACGGCGAGUGAAGAGGAAAGAGCUCAAAGUUGGAACCUGUUUGGCCUAGCUAAACCGGAUUGUAGACUGUAGAAGUGUUUUCCAGGCAAGCCGAGUAAAUAAGUCCUUUGGAACAGGGCAUCAUAGAGGGUGAGAAUCCCGUCUUUGGCUUGAGCAUUUGCCUUUUGUGAUACGCUUUCAAAGAGUCAGGUUGUUUGGGAAUGCAGCCUAAAUUGGGUGGUAAAUCUCACCUAAAGCUAAAUAUUGGCGAGAAACCGAUAGCGAACAAGUACCGUGAGGGAAAGAUGAAAAGAACUUUGAAAAGAGAGUUAAACAGUAUGUGAAAUUGUUAAAAGGGAACCGUUUGGAGCCAGACUGGCUUGUCUGUAAUCAAUCUAGGCUUCGGCCUGGAUGCACUUGCAGGCUAUGCCUGCCAACGACAAUUUGACUUGAGGGAAAAAACUAGGGGAAAUGUGGCCCACUUGUGGGUGUUAUAGUCCCUUAGAAAAUACCUUGGGUUGGAUUGAGGAACGCAGCGAAUGCUUAUUGGCGAGUUUUCCAGGAAGGUUUUCUGAGGUACUACGGUAUCAAGGUUGAUCUUUUUGGUUAUACUUCUAUUCGCUUAGGUUGUUGGCUUAA
This 666-nucleotide ribosomal RNA is filed under the name Mucoraceae sp. 10NF. RNAcentral describes it as "eukaryotic LSU rRNA". It matches the Rfam family "Eukaryotic large subunit ribosomal RNA", at positions 38 to 634 of the family's 3401-position model. The record is from RNAcentral. Lineage: Eukaryota; Fungi; Mucoromycota; Mucoromycetes; Mucorales; Mucoraceae.